UGGGGACUGGUCCAGAGGGCAGUGGCCCAGAUCAGGCCCUCGAGAUGAGGUCCUGGGACCUGGCUGGAAGCCCUGGAGAAAGGCGCUCACGCACAUGGAGGUGUGACAAGAACCUUCCAGAGGCCACCCUGACGCCAUGAGGGAAGGAGUGCAGCUGCCUGACCCCCUCAUGGGUACCUGGGAGGGUCAGAAGGUCAUGAACUCUCCAGGCAAGGCCAGAGCCCAUGGAAGCCCCUUCCAGCCAGAGAAGACCAGCAAAUGGAGAUUCCAGGGUAUACUGAAGACAGGCAGCAUGGUGACAGAAGUUCAUCGCACACACUACUGUUUGGUGGCAAACUGAGGAGUCCCCUUGAGGACCGAGGAGCUUCCAGAAGCUGUGGAUCACAAGAGUCAACCCACCCGUAAGAAGUGAGCCAGGCAGCGGUUCAACUGUGGAAAGAAUUCGGUAAGCAAGUUUCACUUCACUGCAAUAAAGAAGCCUGACUGCAUCCUGAUG
Bubalus bubalis (water buffalo) is the source of this 496-nucleotide long non-coding RNA. RefSeq lists it as uncharacterized. The transcript is spliced from 4 exons. The record is from RefSeq and is a predicted model, not a curated record. Lineage: Eukaryota; Metazoa; Chordata; Mammalia; Artiodactyla; Bovidae.